Molecule: ribosomal RNA, 255 nt
Filed under: uncultured bacterium
Lineage: Bacteria
Description: partial 16S ribosomal RNA
Rfam family: Bacterial small subunit ribosomal RNA
Source: RNAcentral
AAGCAAGACCGUGAGAUGGAGCAAAACUCAAAAACUUGUCUCAGUUCGGAUUNUAGGCUGAAACUCGCCUACAUGAAGCUGGAGUUGCUAGUAAUCGCGAAUCAGCAUGUCGCGGUGAAUACGUUCCCGGGCCUUGUACACACCGCCCGUCACACCAUGAGAGUUGGCAAUACCCAACGUACGUGAUCUAACCCGCAAGGGAGGAAGCGUCCUAAGGUAGGGUCAGCGAUUGGGGUGAAGUCGUAACAAGGUAAC